CGUGUAGGCGGGUCGGCAAGUCAGGCGUGAAAUCCCCAGGCUCAACCUGGGAACUGCGCUUGAAACUGCCGGUCUUGAGUAUCGGAGAGGGUGGCGGAAUUCCUGGUGUAGAGGUGAAAUUCGUAGAUAUCAGGAGGAACACCGGUGGCGAAGGCGGCCACCUGGACGAUAACUGACGCUGAGACGCGAAAGCGUGGGGAGCAAACAGGAUUAGAUACCCUGGUAGUCCACGCCGUAAACGAUGGGUGCUAGGUGUCUCGGGUAUUGACCCCUGAGGUGCCGUAGCUAACGCGUUAAGCACCCCGCCUGGGAAGUACGGCCGCAAGGCUAAA
Molecule: ribosomal RNA, 332 nt
Filed under: uncultured Pseudomonadota bacterium
Lineage: Bacteria; Pseudomonadati; Pseudomonadota
Description: bacterial SSU rRNA
Rfam family: Bacterial small subunit ribosomal RNA
Source: RNAcentral